UCUCCGUAGGUGAACCUGCGGAGGGAUCAUUACUGAGUGAGGGCUUCGGUCCGACCUCCAACCAUUUGUGAACCAAACUUGUUGCUUCGGGGGCGACCCAGCAGCUUCGGCGGUGCGGCGCCCCCGGAGGCCAUUAAACACUGCAUCAUUGCGUCGGAGUUAAAGUAAAUUAAACAAAACUUUCAACAACGUAUCUCUUGGUUCUGGCAUCGAUGAAGAACGCAGC
This 226-nucleotide unclassified non-coding RNA is filed under the name uncultured fungus. Its description in RNAcentral is "sequence contains ITS1, 5.8S rRNA gene". The stretch from base 178 to 226 matches the Rfam family "5.8S ribosomal RNA", at positions 1 to 49 of the family's 154-position model. Lineage: Eukaryota; Fungi. The record is from RNAcentral.